Molecule: ribosomal RNA, 335 nt
Filed under: uncultured bacterium
Lineage: Bacteria
Description: bacterial SSU rRNA
Rfam family: Bacterial small subunit ribosomal RNA
Source: RNAcentral
AAUCAACGCUGGCGGCGUGCCUAACACAUGCAAGUCGAACGCGAGAGGGGCUUCGGCCCGAUUGAGUGGCGAACGGGUGAGUAACACGUGGGUGACCUACCUUCGAGUGGGGGAUAACGUCCCGAAAGGGACGCUAAUACCGCAUAACAUUCCGCUUUUGAACAAGUGGAAAUCAAAGCCGGGGAUCGUAAGACCUGGCGCUUGAAGAGGGGCCCGCGUCCGAUUAGCUAGUUGGUGAGGUAACGGCUCACCAAGCGACGAUCGGUAGCCGGCCUGAGAGGGCGGACGGCCACACUGGGACUGAGACACGGCCCAGACUCCUACGGGAGGCAGCA